This 1498-nucleotide long non-coding RNA is filed under the name Nicotiana tabacum (common tobacco). Its description in RNAcentral is "long non-coding RNA (NTAB_LNC010162)". The record is from RNAcentral. Lineage: Eukaryota; Viridiplantae; Streptophyta; Magnoliopsida; Solanales; Solanaceae.
CUGUCAGAGGGACUUCUCCAGAUGAUGCAGCAGCAACAAAGUUGAUAACAAGAGCAGCAACAUUUACUGUGAGCUGAAAUUGAAUAAACUUUUGAAUGUUAUUAUAUACGCACCUACCCCACUUCAAGACUGUGACCACUGUAUUGAAGUUGUCAUCCAAGAUAACUAUAUCGGAACUCUCCUUUGCAACUUCUGUGCCUUGGAUUCCCAUGGAAAGUCCAACAUCUGCGGCUUUUAAUGCAGGAGCAUCAUUUGUUCCAUCGCCUGUUACUGCUACAACAUGGCCUUUCUGCUUCAAACAUUCAACCAUCAAAAGCUUAUCAAAUGGUGAAGAUCUUGCCAUAACGCGUAUUCUUUCAACAAUCUUCAUUCUCUCUUCUUGUGAGUAAUUCCUGAAUGUCGGCCCUUCAAUUACUGCAAUAUUCAAGUCUUCAGCUGGUUGGAGAAUUCCACAUUCAAGAGCUAUUGAUUUGGCUGUGAACACAUUGUCCCCAGUAAUCAUUUUUAUGCUAACACCAGCAGCCCUGCAGGAUUCUACUGCCUCUUUUACACCAGGCCUACAUGGGUCCUUUAGACCCACUAGACCCAAUAAGGUUAGUUCGGUUUCUUCAAGAAUUUGACUUUCUGGAUUGCUUUCUUUGCAAGCAAAUGCAAUACAUCGCAAGCUCUUGCUUGCCAUAUAUUUGAUCUUCAACUCAAGUUCUUUUCUUUCUUCAUGAUCUAUAGGUGAAAUUAUUCCACCUUUGACAUAAUAAGUGGAGCACAUAGCUAGAAUCAUCUCUGCAGCACCCUUCCAAUGUGUAUGAACUUUCCCUGUAUUAUUUUUUAUUAACAAUACCCCACUUCUUUUCUUUUGUGAAUUGAAAACUUCAACAUGGAGGAUUCGAUGCUCUCGAUUUAAUUCAUUAAAGUUCACUAGUAAACUGGUCAUGGCCCAUGAUAAAAUCGCUUUCUCAGUUGGGCCACCAGAGAUUUCUGGAGGACCAGAAGGUGACGUGUAAACUUCACCUGUAGUGUUCAAACCAGCAGCCUCUUGUAGCAGUUCAAGAACUUCAGGUGCUAUCUGUGAUGUCGUCAUAAUCAUAUCUGUUCCUAACCAAAAUUCAGUUACCUGCAGAGGUAAAAGCAGAAUUUAGAUUUGAUUAGUUCAACCUUUAAUAAGUUCUUACUAUUGAAUUCGUUGCACUUUCAAAUUUAUGGAUUCAAAAUUUAGUAAAUUUUUAAGUAUUUAUGCGCCGUAUGGAAGUUAGUGGGUUAAGUUGAACCCAGUAAACAAGGCUGCAUCCAUUACCUGCAUCUUGUUUAAGGUGAGAGUUCCGGUUUUGUCUGUGCAGAUGGUAGUUGCUGAUCCCAUUGUCUCACAUGCAGAUAGCUUACGGACCAUUGCAUGAUCGAGCAUCAUUCUUCUCAUAGAAUAUGCCAAAGUUAGUGUGACAGCCAAUGGCAGACCUUCUGGAAUUGCAACCACUAUGAUGGUUACUGCUGCAGCAAUCAUACG